CUUUGUACACACCGCCCGUCGCUGCCCGGGACUGAGCCGAUUCGAGAAAUCCGGGGAUCGCCGGUCUGAUGCCUUCGGGCGUCUCUCUGGUGAGAACCGGCUUAAUCGCAUCAGUUUGAACCGGGCAAAAGUCGUAACAAGGUUGCUGUAGGUGAACCUGCUGCAGGAUCAUUACUUACAAGUAAACCUAUCCAAUACGAUUCCGUCCUUUGGUGGGCAGUGCCCUCAGGCAUUGGCGAAACCCAUCAAAUGUGACGCGAACGGCUGGGUUGGCGUCUGUGAGUCGUGGAGCAGUUGUAGUCCAUGUCCGUGGCUGCGAUGAUGCGACUCGGUAGGGCUGUCAUCGCCUUUGGCAGCUUAAGACUUGAUGAGCGCAGACCAAGCGCCGCCAGCAACCAUUUUUUUCCAAUAAACUUUUUCAAAUGCCAUGAAAGGCAAACAAGAAUUCUAGCCUUAUCGGUGGAUCACUCGGCUCGUAGGUCGAUGAAGAACGCAGCCAGCUGCGAUAUCUAGUGUGAACUGCAGAACCUUUGAACACUAAACAUUCGAAUGCACAUUGCGCCAUUGGAGUCACUUCCUCUGGCACGCCUGGUUCAGGGUCGUUAACCAAAAACGCAAGACAAAUGCGUACAUGAAUGCGUGAUGAUUAAUAUUUUCAUGCAAUGGAAAUUCAAAGUUUGCUAAUUUUGUACUUGGACAUGAAUUUCGUGAGUAUUUGCCGUGUGGCGAAUGAAAUUCACGUAUGUUCAUUGUGCAGAUUGGCAACUUUUCCAAAUCAUUCGACCUGAACUCAGACGUGAAUACCCGCUGAACUUAAGCAUAUCAGUAAGCGGAGGAAAAGAAACUAACAAGGAUUCCCUUAGUAACGGCGAGUGAAA
This 878-nucleotide ribosomal RNA is filed under the name Radopholus bridgei. RNAcentral's name for it is "eukaryotic LSU rRNA". The stretch from base 1 to 174 matches the Rfam family "Eukaryotic small subunit ribosomal RNA", at positions 1658 to 1831 of the family's 1831-position model. Lineage: Eukaryota; Metazoa; Nematoda; Chromadorea; Rhabditida; Pratylenchidae. The record is from RNAcentral.